This 218-nucleotide ribosomal RNA is filed under the name uncultured bacterium. RNAcentral describes it as "partial 16S ribosomal RNA". It matches the Rfam family "Bacterial small subunit ribosomal RNA", at positions 524 to 740 of the family's 1533-position model. The record is from RNAcentral.
UACGUAGGGUGCGAGCGUUAAUCGGAAUUACUGGGCGUAAAGCGUGCGCAGGCGGUUUUGUAAGUCUGUCGUGAAAUCCCCGGGCUCAACCUGGGAAUUGCGAUGGAGACUGCAAGGCUAGAAUCUGGCAGAGGGGGGUAGAAUUCCACGUGUGAGCAGUGAAAUGCGUAGAGAUGUGGAGGAACACCGAUGGCGAAGGCAGCCCCCUGGGUCAAGAU